GGCAGACGGGUGAGUAACACGUGGGAAUCUGCCUUGUGGUUCAGGACAACAUUGGGAAACCGAUGCUAAUACUGGAUAAGCCCUUACGGGGAAAGUUUUAAUGCCAUAAGAUGAGCCCGCAUUUGAUUAGUUAGUUGGUGAGGUAAUGGCUCACCAAGACAAUGAUCAAUAGCUGAUCUGAGAGGAUGAUCAGCCACACUGGGACUGAGACACGGCCCAGACUCCUACGGGAGGCAGCAGUGGGGAAUCUUGCACAAUGGAGGAAACUCUGAUGCAGCGAUGCCGCGUGAGUGAAGAAGGCCUUUGGGUUGUAAAGCUCUUUUGUAGGGGAAGAUAAUGACUGUACCCUAAGAAUAAGGUCCGGCUAACUUCGUGCCAGCAGCCGCGGUAAUACGAAGGGACCUAGCGUAGUUCGGAAUUACUGGGCGUAAAGCGCGCGUAGGCCGUUGAGUUAGUUAAUUGUGAAAUCCCAAAGCUUAACUUUGGAACUGCAAUUAAAACUGCUCGACUAGAGUUUGAUAGAGGAAAGCGGAAUACAUAGUGUAGAGGUGAAAUUCGUAGAUAUUAUGUAGAACACCAGUUGCGAAGGCGGCUUUCUGGAUCAACACUGACGCUGAGGCGCGAAAGUAUGGGUAGCAAAGAGGAUUAGAUACCCUCGUAGUCCAUACCAUAAACGAUGAUUGCUAGAUGUUGGAGAUUUAUUUUCAGUAUCGCAGCUAACGCAUUAAGCAAUCCGCCUGGGGAGUACGACCGCAAGGUUAAAACUCAAAUGAAUUGACGGGGACCCGCACAAGCGGUGGAGCAUGUGGUUUAAUUCGAAGAUACGCGCAGAACCUUACC
This 840-nucleotide ribosomal RNA is filed under the name uncultured bacterium. RNAcentral describes it as "bacterial SSU rRNA". It matches the Rfam family "Bacterial small subunit ribosomal RNA", at positions 97 to 975 of the family's 1533-position model. The record is from RNAcentral.